RNAcentral lists this non-coding RNA (216 nucleotides) under Clostridium saccharoperbutylacetonicum. RNAcentral also lists the same sequence under 1 other name. Lineage: Bacteria; Bacillati; Bacillota; Clostridia; Eubacteriales; Clostridiaceae. The record is from RNAcentral.
UUUAAGCAAUGAUUUUUAGGUUCAUAUAUAAUUAUUAUAUGAUUAAAAGGGAAAGUGGUUAAAAUCCACUACAGCCCCCGCUACUGUGAUGGAAGACUAAUCUCUAUAGCAUAUUGAAGUUUAAAUAUGCAAAAAUCCACUGGGAGUUUUCUUGGGAAGGAAGAGAAUGUAGGAUGAGGCCAAAGUCAGGAGACCUGCCUAAAGGUUUAUGUAAUG